UUUCCGUAGGUGAACCUGCGGAAGGAUCAUUCAUAAUAAGUGUUUUAUGGCACUUUUUAAAUCCAUAUCCACCUUGUGUGCAAUGUCAGUCGUUCUCUUUUUUGAGAGCGACCAAACAUCAACUUAUUCUUUAACUCUUUGUCUGAAAAAUAUUAUGAAUAAAAUAAUUCAAAAUACAACUUUCAACAACGGAUCUCUUGGCUCUC
Molecule: unclassified non-coding RNA, 206 nt
Filed under: soil metagenome
Description: partial contains small subunit ribosomal RNA, internal transcribed spacer 1, and 5.8S ribosomal RNA
Source: RNAcentral